This 331-nucleotide long non-coding RNA is filed under the name Mytilus galloprovincialis (Mediterranean mussel). Lineage: Eukaryota; Metazoa; Mollusca; Bivalvia; Mytilida; Mytilidae. The record is from RNAcentral.
GUUGCUGGUUACUAAAUUAAAUAAAAUACAAAAAGGUAUUAUACUCUUUACAACUUAGUUUUAUUAACUUUAUUGAAAACCCUAACAGGGCUUAAUACAGACAAACUGGGAAUUAAUACAGGGCCAUUACAGAAAAACAGGGCCAUUACAGAAAAAACAGGGCCAUUACAGAAAAACAGGGCCAUUAUAGAAAAAAAACAGGGCCAUUACAGAAAAACAGGGCCAUUACAGAAAAACAGGGCCAUUACAGAAAAACAGGGCCAUUACAGAAAAUAUGUAAUUUUUAAUGAACAGUCCCUUUUGGCAAUAAUGCACUUAGUUGGUUAAUAAA